AGUAUCAUUAACUGAAUACAUAGGUUAAUGAAGCGAACCGGGGGAACUGAAACAUCUAAGUACCCCGAGGAAGAGAAAUCAACCGAGAUUCCGGUAGUAGCGGCGAGCGAAACCGGAUUAGCCCUUAAGCUAGUUCUGCGUUAGGUGAAUGUGCUGGAAAGCACAGCGAUACAGGGUGAUAGCCCCGUAACCAAAAAUGCAUUAAUAGUGAAAUCGAGUAGGACGGGACACGUGAUAUCCUGUUUGAACAUGGGGGGACCAUCCUCCAAGGCUAAAUACUCCUGACUGACCGAUAGUGAACCAGUACCGUGAGGGAAAGGCGAAAAGAACCCCUGUGAGGGGAGUGAAAUAGAACCUGAAACCGUGUACGUACAAGCAGUAGGAGCCCACUUGUUGGGUGACUGCGUACCUUUUGUAUAAUGGGUCAGCGACUUAAUUUUAGUAGCAAGGUUAACCGUUUAGGGGAGCCGUAGGGAAACCGAGUCUUAACUGGGCGUCAUAGUUGCUAGGAUUAGACCCGAAACCGAGUGAUCUAGCCAUGGGCAGGUUGAAGGUGAGGUAACACUUACUGGAGGACCGAACCGACUAAUGUUGAAAAAUUAGCGGAUGACUUGUGGCUAGGGGUGAAAGGCCAAUCAAACUCGGAGAUAGCUGGUUCUCCCCGAAAGCUAUUUAGGUAGCGCCUCGGACGAAUACUACUGGGGGUAGAGCACUGUUAAG
RNAcentral lists this ribosomal RNA (720 nucleotides) under Photobacterium phosphoreum. RNAcentral's name for it is "bacterial LSU rRNA". It matches the Rfam family "Bacterial large subunit ribosomal RNA", at positions 147 to 917 of the family's 2925-position model. The record is from RNAcentral. Lineage: Bacteria; Pseudomonadati; Pseudomonadota; Gammaproteobacteria; Vibrionales; Vibrionaceae.